AGAGUUUGAUUCUGGCUCAGAGUGAACGCUGGCGGCGUGCUUAACACAUGCAAGUCGAACGGAGAAAGAGAGGUUCGCCUUUCUUUCUUAGUGGCGCACGGGUGAGUAAUGUAUAGCUAACCUGCCCCUUGGUGGGGGACAACAGAUGGAAACGUCUGCUAAUACCCCAUACUCCUUCUUACUCUAAGGUAAGUCGGGAAAACUCCGGUGCCAAGGGAUGGGGCUGUAUCCUAUCAGCUUGUUGGUGAGGUAAUGGCUCACCAAGGCAAUGACGGGUAGCUGGUCUGAGAGGAUGGUCAGCCACACUGGAACUGAGACACGGUCCAGACUCCUACGGGAGGCAGCAGUGGGGAAUAUUGCACAAUGGGGGAAACCCUGAUGCAGCAACGCCGCGUGGAGGAUGACGCAUUUCGGUGUGUAAACUCCUUUUAUAGGGGAAGAUAAUGACGGUACCCUAUGAAUAAGCACCGGCUAACUCCGUGCCAGCAGCCGCGGUAAUACGGAGGGUGCAAGCGUUACUCGGAAUCACUGGGCGUAAAGGGUGCGUAGGCGGGUUGUCAAGUUCUGAGUGAAAUCCAACGGCUCAACCGUUGAACUGCUUGGAAAACUGGCAGCCUAGAGUGAGGGAGAGGCAGAUGGAAUUGGUGGUGUAGGGGUAAAAUCCGUAGAGAUCACCAGGAAUACCCAUUGCGAAGGCGAUCUGCUGGAACUCAACUGACGCUGAGGCACGAAAGCGUGGGGAGCAAACAGGAUUAGAUACCCUGGUAGUCCACGCCCUAAACGAUGAACACUAGUUGUUGCCCUGCACGUCAGGGCAGUAAUGCACCUAACGGAUUAAGUGUUCCGCCUGGGGAGUACGGUCGCAAGAUUAAAACUCAAAGGAAUAGACGGGGACCCGCACGAGCGGUGGAGCAUGUGGUUUAAUUCGAAGAUACGCGAAAACCUUACCUGGCCUUGAUAUCCUUCAAAUCCUGUAGAGAUACGGGAGUGCUAGCUUGCUAGAAUGAAGUGACAGGUGCUGCACGGCUGUCGUCAGCUCGUGUCGUGAGAUGUUGGGUUAAGUCCCGCAACGAGCGCAACCCUCGUGUUUAGUUGCUAACAGUUCGGCUGAGCACUCUAAACAGACUGCCUUCGUAAGGAGGAGGAAGGUGAGGACGACGUCAAGUCAUCAUGGCCCUUAUGGCCAGGGCUACACACGUGCUACAAUGGAUAGGACAAUGAGACGCAAUACCGCGAGGUGGAGCAAAUCUAUAAACCUAUUCUCAGUUCGGAUUGUUCUCUGCAACUCGAGAACAUGAAGCUGGAAUCGCUAGUAAUCGUAGAUCAGCAUUGCUACGGUGAAUACGUUCCCGGGUCUUGUACUCACCGCCCGUCACACCAUGGGAGUUGAUUUCACCCGAAGCCAGGAAGCUAGAAUAGCUACUGUCCACGGUGGGAUUAGCGACUGGGGUGAAGUCGUAACAAGGUAACCG
This 1472-nucleotide ribosomal RNA is filed under the name uncultured bacterium. Its description in RNAcentral is "bacterial SSU rRNA". It matches the Rfam family "Bacterial small subunit ribosomal RNA". The record is from RNAcentral.